This is a long non-coding RNA of Peromyscus eremicus (cactus mouse), 1418 nucleotides long. RefSeq lists it as uncharacterized. Lineage: Eukaryota; Metazoa; Chordata; Mammalia; Rodentia; Cricetidae. The transcript has 3 exons. The record is from RefSeq and is a predicted model, not a curated record.
GAUUCAUCAACCCCUCUCCAGCCAGUCGGUCUCCCUUGUCCCUUGGAAACAUGCGCCAAGGUCCUAAGGGACAAGCUUGGUAGCUCAAAGGUCCCAUCUAGCUUCUUGGCCCCAGUUCUGGGCUCUGUCUAAAAACAAGACAUUGCUACCCCCAGCUGAUAGCGACUAGGAGAAGAAAGUGUUUGUGCCUGUGGCUGUAGUUUCGGCCAUUCCCCUGCCCCAGGGCUGAGUGUAAGACCUGCAGGGUGAGGAGCACACAGACGGGGCUAGAGACGUAAGGGUGAUACCUGGCCUGGAGGCUGUCCGGAGAGGCCCAUUUAUGUCUGUCCCCACAGCCAGUGCUGGUGCAUCGUGGGCCUAGGGCUCUAUUAACUUCUCUGUAGUAGAAGCAGAUGGAACAUAGCCCACCAAAUAUCCACAGGGCCCCCAGCUGGACUCCUGAGCCUUCAGCUAGGUGCCUCUUCACUGGCGGGACCCAAGACUCUGUCCAUGGUGCUAACCCUCACCCCACGCCUUGCCUCAACCCUGCACUCCUGAUCACCAACUCCAACGUCUCUGAAGACCUCCUCAUCUCGGGGAUGAAUUCUGAGCUCAUGUUCUGGACCGCUGCCAGGAAGAAGGACGCAGCGUUAGUUGAAAGCAUCACACAAAAGGCCGCAGGGCUCUUUGGUUUCUUUCUUCUGCAAUUGGAACGGGGUGACAUACGGAGAAGCUACAGAGAAAUGUUGGCUCCACCCUCUGCCAAGGGACUCAAAUCAGCAUUUGUUGACAUUUCUCAAGACACCCUCAGUGCUGGUGACAUUUCAGAGACCUGCUCUCUGACAGGGCUGGAGGAUGUGAACCUGACCCUGAAGCCUUUGCUCCAGACCCAGACCCACUGGAACAAACCUUGCCUUUCCUCCAGCACCUCCAACCAGUGCUGAAACUACCCGGGGGGCUCUGGUGCCAACUUGAAAAUGCUGACGAGGCAAGACUGGAGCAGGUGUGGGCUCAGUCCUUUCCUUACCAAGCUUCAACAUCUGCCUCUGUGGGAUGGAAGUCGCCGUCCUUGCUUCCCUGAGAAUAGAGUUGUGAGUGCAUAAUGGUGAGAAAAGGGAAGUGUUAUGUCUGCUGUGUACUGUUGUCCAAGUGUGAAGUUCAGAUGGAGGUAUUAGGGCCGGGGUAGGGGUACAGUGUGGAGGAUCAGCAGGUGCAGAGGCUGGUGGAACCAAUGACUCUGCCCAUUUCAUACAUUGGAGAGGGUCACUUGGUGGGUAGAGGUCAGCACAGGGAACCAGAGGGAUUCUUGGAUGCUCUUGUUGAAGCUAACAGAGAGCAACAGAGCUGUGGACCAUAUCAGAACCAGCCCAGUCUAAGGCUGGACCGCCCUGAACACGCCUGAUCUUGGGAACUAAGGGGGGUUGGGUCUGGUUGGUCCC